UGGGGAAUCUUGCGCAAUGGGCGAAAGCCUGACGCAGCGACGCCGCGUGAGCGAUGAAGGCCUUCGGGUUGUAAAGCUCUGUGGGGAGGAAAGAAUAAGGUUUGGCUAAUAUCCAAGCUGAUGACGGUACCUCCUUAGCAAGCACCGGCUAACUCUGUGCCAGCAGCCGCGGUAAGACAGAGGGUGCAAACGUUGUUCGGAAUUACUGGGCGUAAAGCGCGUGUAGGCGGCCCUGCAAGUCGGAUGUGAAAUCCCACGGCUCAACCGUGGAAGUGCAUUCGAAACUGCAGGGCUAGAGUCCUGGAGAGGAAGGUGGAAUGCUUGGUGUAGAGGUGAAAUUCGUAGAUAUCAAGCGGAACACCGGUGGCGAAGGCGGCCUUCUGGACAGUGACUGACGCUGAGACGCGAAAGCGUGGGGAGCAAACAG
This 427-nucleotide ribosomal RNA is filed under the name uncultured bacterium. RNAcentral's name for it is "bacterial SSU rRNA". It matches the Rfam family "Bacterial small subunit ribosomal RNA", at positions 355 to 775 of the family's 1533-position model. The record is from RNAcentral.